AUUCCAGCUCCAAUAGCGUAUAUUAAAGUUGUUGCAGUUAAAAAGCUCGUAGUUGGAUUUUGGGUCGGGGGUACCGGUCCGGUGUUUCACUGUGCACUGGUCUCCCCUUCCUUUCUGCCGGGGACGGCGUUUGCUCUUUACUGAGCGGCGUCGGAGUCGGCGUUGUUACUUUGAAAAAAUUAGAGUGUUCAAAGCAAGCCAUCGCUCUGAAUACAUUAGCAUGGAAUAACAUGAUAGGACUCUGGUCUUAUUUUGUUGGUUUCCGAGACUGGAGUAAUGAUUAAGGGGGACAGUCGGGGGCAUCCGUAUUUCAUUGUCAGAGGUGAAAUUCUUGGAUUUAUGAAAGACGAACCACUGCGAAAGCAUUUGCCAGGGAUGUUUUCAUUA
RNAcentral lists this ribosomal RNA (387 nucleotides) under Prasinoderma sp. RNAcentral's name for it is "partial small subunit ribosomal RNA". It matches the Rfam family "Eukaryotic small subunit ribosomal RNA", at positions 582 to 975 of the family's 1831-position model. Lineage: Eukaryota; Viridiplantae; Prasinodermophyta; Prasinodermophyceae; Prasinodermales; Prasinodermaceae. The record is from RNAcentral.